CAAUGAGGAGGUCGCUCUGGCAACCUGCAACUUAGUCCAGACUGUCUAUGACUUCCUGUCUGGGGCAGACAGGAAGGUUUAUGGCAAAGAGGAGGCCCUUGUGCUUGUGAGGAAGAAGUCCAAAUGUGAGACAGAGGUAGAGAAAAUGCAGGAGAAGAGAGAGAGGCAGCUACUGUAACAUCAAGAGCUAAGAGAAGAGAAGAGAGUGCAGGAGGUGGACAUGACAGUCACCAACUAUGAAAUGAUUCAAAUGAUCAGAGAUUUUAGAGCAAGCCUGGAUUACAGACCACUAAACACAGCUGAAGUGCAUUAUUUAUUAUCCUGCAAAGGAUGUUUGCCUGAUCUUUUUGUGAAAGUUUUGUGUGCUAAUUUUAAACAAGAUUUAUAAAAAAAAAAAUAAAAAAAAUUUUUUUUUAAAAACUGCGGUACUGUAAAUGUAAGAGUAAAGAGAAUCUUAAUGUUUGAAGAUUGAAAAGCACCGAAUGUGUUUGUGUGAGGAAGCACCCUCUUAACAAAAAAGGUGAAACAGAUUUAUGUAUAUUUUCACGAUAACUUAUUAAAAUGCUUUACCGCUGUUCUGAAUGUGUGUUACCUCCACUUUCUUAUAGCUACCAGGCUCAACAUAUUUUAACCCAUCCUAGAUGAUACUGAAUAAACCUUUUGAUUUCCUUUUAAUAGGAAUAGAAAUCUCAAAUAGCAUAAAAUAAAUAUAAAGACUGGAUGCGACAAUUGUCUUUCAAAUCACCAAGUGUGUGUGGUGAGCUGUGGUGUUCAAGGACAUGUCAUGUCUUGUAUUGUAAAACUCACUGCAAAGGAGCUGGAUGUGAUCACCAGCCCCGGUAAAGAUGUCGUCUUGGUCCAUGAGCAGAAAUGGAACUUCACCCGAUACCUAAAGAAUCAAACCUUUCGCUUCGAUUAUGCCUUUGACGACAG
Molecule: long non-coding RNA, 933 nt
Organism: Ictalurus furcatus (blue catfish)
Lineage: Eukaryota; Metazoa; Chordata; Actinopteri; Siluriformes; Ictaluridae
Exons: 3
Source: RefSeq, a predicted model, not a curated record